ACUUAACCCGGUCCAAUUCCUUUUCUUUGGACUAGCUUGUGUGUGAGAAUAGGUUGAUUCGUAGGCCUCAAGGCCUCAUAAUGGAUGUGAGUUAGGGGGAAUUUUGUGGGCUUUGGUUGGAGUCAAAUAUAUGCAUAAGAUUCUUUCACUCUUUAAGUAAGUUUUAAUUGUUUUUAUUAUUACAUGCCUCCUAACCUUACUCUUUUACUCCCAUACCACUUAUAACCCCUAAUCCCUUUAUCUAUGCCCUGAUUCAAGCAAGGAUUUUUUUUUUUUUUUUUUUUUUGAUGCAAAAGAGAGGCUAGGCCCCGGAAAACAAAGCUACAAAAUUAAGGAGGAAUUAAUCGCGGCAUAGCCACGCCUACUACAUCAUCAUGUAAAAUGCGCCCUAAAGCUAGGGACGGGAAUUGAAUCAACUCUAUCUUGUUGUUCUGGGUAUUACCUUGAUUUGCUAGCCAAUCUGCAGCUCGAUUACCUUCUCUGAACACAUGUAUAAUUUCAAGCAAGGAAUAUGAUUAGCCUCCUCUCCCCUUUGCCGUGAAUACAACCCCAAAGAAGAAAACACAAAAAACCGUGAGUAUACAUCCUUGUUCCUCCAUUUUUGUACCUUGUUUCUCCCUCCAAUCGUACAAAUCUAAUGCUGGAUUUUCACACCAAGAAACAUCAUUUUAUCCUCUUAAUUUAAGGGUAAAAAUAUGUUUUCAAGAUCAUCAAGAGGGCUAAGUCUCCUUGGAGUCCUCUUCUUUUUUGUAGGUUGUAACAAGAGGCUAUCAAGACUAUCGAGGGCGUGGAGCCUUCUCGAGCACAAGUUUAUAUUGAGACUCAUAAGGAUAGAAAGACGAAGGACAAAAAAAAAUUGAUGAAGAAUCAGCUCGAGCAGUUACCUAAUGAAAGAAAAACUAGCUGAACUUCCCGGUGGAGUUGAACAGUCUAAAGGACGAAUUGCUUGGCAAAGUGAUGUUUAUGAUCAAGUUAUUAACAAGCCGGAAAGGUGUGGCAAAGUGCGGGGAGUGGGAUUUGGAGUUUUGCCUUCCAGUUUACGGGACAAAACACCAACUAAUCAAUCAAGUUAUGCUUUAUCAAAUGAUGUUGUCUCCAACAAGCAAAUUGAGAAUCUAGUAGAGGAUAGGAUAAAGGCGAUACAAGAAAACCAUAACCAAGCUAUGAAGAAUGUACUUGAGAAACAAGCUGCUAUGGAGGAGAAACUCUCAAAGCUAAUUCAAUUUCUGGUAGAAAAUGCAUCAAACAAAGAGGAGACUUAUAUGAGUGAACAAGAUGGCAGUGCGACAUGGGGGUCAUGAAGUGUAAAGCUUAGGUAGCAAAGUACAAAGACGAUAACUCUUCAUUUGGCAAACGGUGAAGUUGGGUGUAUUUGGGGAAGCACAUGACUUUAUCGAGUUAUACUAUAUUAGAAGUUGCAUUGUAGUAGUUAAUUAGUUAUUUAUCUUGUCAUCUGCAGAUUAUUAGAUAACAUUUGUUAAGUUUUUAAGACUAUUAGACAAUUAUAUAUCACCUAUGUAAUGACUUAUGACUUACUCUUUAUGAGUUAUUUAUUUAUA
This is a long non-coding RNA of Spinacia oleracea (spinach), 1559 nucleotides long. RefSeq lists it as uncharacterized. The record is from RefSeq and is a predicted model, not a curated record. Lineage: Eukaryota; Viridiplantae; Streptophyta; Magnoliopsida; Caryophyllales; Amaranthaceae. The transcript has 6 exons.